CAGAACUACAUGGAACUACAUUUAUUCAAACGGAUGCUCUCAUUCUAUCUAAUAGUGACGCUAUAUUGGUUAUAUAAUCUGAAAUAUAACACCACAAGCUUCAGAAUAAAAUCACCCCCUGGUGAAUAAUCACCUUCCGCAAAGACAAAGUUCCAUUUUUCAGCCCUCUUUCAACAAGCUGCAGAUAAACUACAGAUAUAUUCCUCACAACGGGAACAGGUGACACCGUGUACAUUGAUACUUAUCGGAUACUGUGUGUAUAACAAUAGUAAAAGUAUCCCACUUGAAUAUCCACAGGACAUAUCACUACUGUUACCUACAUCAACAUUGCUGUUCCAUUCAAGAGAUUUCUUUGUUAACAUUUCCCCCGUUACAUUCCUUGUAGCUAGCACCUCCAACCCUCCACUUUAACCACAGGAGAACAUCAUCGAAACUGUAGGAGACCUUCAUUACUCUCAGGGACAAUGAGUAACACUGAUAUAGUUUUUUAACUGUUUUUAAUUGUUUCAUUUUUUGUCCCACA
Long non-coding RNA from Hyla sarda, 523 nucleotides. RefSeq lists it as uncharacterized. The transcript has 3 exons. NCBI's taxonomy places the organism in Eukaryota, Metazoa, Chordata, Amphibia, Anura, Hylidae. The record is from RefSeq and is a predicted model, not a curated record.